Long non-coding RNA from Sorex araneus (European shrew), 1000 nucleotides. RefSeq lists it as uncharacterized. The record is from RefSeq and is a predicted model, not a curated record. The transcript is spliced from 3 exons. Lineage: Eukaryota; Metazoa; Chordata; Mammalia; Eulipotyphla; Soricidae.
GUGAAGUACCGGCCGACGGCGGGUCGUCCCAGGCAGCCUCCUAGACGGGAUGGGGGUGAGGUCGGGAAGGAUUACUGAUAAAGAGAGGAGAUUCAUUAAUGCAAUGCCGAGGCGCGCUGCAUUUGAGUCGGGAGAACUUGGCGAGGUACAACCAGCCGGCCGCCUUCCCCUGACAGGGUGUCCAAAGGGCGGCGGCCUCUUUAAGAGCCCAGCGCCCCGCCUCCGGCUCGUCGCCGACCUCCUCCCGUCUCCUCCCAGUCGCUCGGCCAGUUCCAGAGCUCCCUCGGCGAUGAGGUCAUCUCGCAGCUUCCGAUUGGCUGCUCCCGGCCGUCAGUCACAGGAAGUCCCGCCGCCGUCCUCGCUUUCCUAAAAUCUCUCCGGGCUCGCCCGCCCCGGAGUUCGCCGGGCCAGGCCUCGAUGGGGGCCGUGAUUGGUCGGCGCCGCUGUCGCUCCUCCAGCAGGGCGGUGCAAGCGGCAGGAGGCGGGUGUGGUGGGCGGGCCCACAGCUUCCGCGGCUGAGAGGAGCCGGCGGCGGCCGUGUCUGAGGUGGACGCGGCGACUGCAAGCCUGCCCGUUCCAUCCUCUCAGCUCCCCGGCUCCGCUCGCCACACACCCGUCCGUGCGCGACGACUUCUCGCCUGCACCGCGCGCUGUGCGGCCGGCCGGCGAGCCACGGGGGAAGACGCGCGUCCGCAGAGCCGCUGAGGGGACCGCUGCGGAGCCCGGGCCGGGAGCAGCGCGAGGCGUUUUCUGAAGUUGCUAUUGAUCCAGUCAGAGGCCAGAGAGGAAACUAGCGGUCUGAAAGAGACUCCUGGACCGUUUGGGAAGUGGUGACUUGCCGCACUGAAGCCGAUGUAGGGUUGCCAUCACGAAAGCCAAAGUGGAUUUCUCCAGUGUAGUGUGCCUGCCCCCUUCCGUCAUUGCUGUGAAUGGGCUCGACGGAGGAGGGGCUGGUGAAAAUGAUGAUGAACCAGUUCUUGUGUCCCUGUCUGCGGCCCCC